GAUGAACGCUGGCGGCGUGCCUAAUACAUGCAAGUCGAGCGAACAGACGAGGAGCUUGCUCCUCUGAUGUUAGCGGCGGACGGGUGAGUAACACGUGGAUAACCUACCUAUAAGACUGGGAUAACUUCGGGAAACCGGAGCUAAUACCGGAUAACAUGUUGAACCGCAUGGUUCAACAGUGAAAGACGGUCUUGCUGUCACUUAUAGAUGGAUCCGCGCCGCAUUAGCUAGUUGGUAAGGUAACGGCUUACCAAGGCAACGAUGCGUAGCCGACCUGAGAGGGUGAUCGGCCACACGGGAACUGAGACACGGUCCAGACACCUACGGGAGGCAGCAGUAGGGAAUCUUCCGCAAUGGGCGAAAGCCUGACGGAGCAACGCCGCGUGAGUGAAGAAGGUCUUCGGAUCGUAAAACUCUGUUAUUAGGGAAGAACAAAUGUGUAAGUAACUAUGCACGUCUUGACGGUACCUAAUCAGAAAGCCACGGCUAACUACGUG
This 497-nucleotide ribosomal RNA is filed under the name uncultured bacterium. RNAcentral describes it as "partial 16S ribosomal RNA". It matches the Rfam family "Bacterial small subunit ribosomal RNA", at positions 28 to 507 of the family's 1533-position model. The record is from RNAcentral.